GCUUACGGCCACACCGGCCUGAGUACGCCUGAUCUCGUCCGAUCUCGUCCGUCUCGGAAGCUAAGCAGGGUCGGGCCUGGUUAGUACUUGGAUGGGAGACCGCCUGGGAAUACCAGGUGCUGUAAGCU
Molecule: ribosomal RNA, 128 nt
Filed under: Oncorhynchus mykiss (rainbow trout)
Lineage: Eukaryota; Metazoa; Chordata; Actinopteri; Salmoniformes; Salmonidae
Source: RNAcentral